AUGCUGUAUAACUUCAGUAGUGUUUGUGCACAGUCACACUUAUUGAACGCACCUCUGUUCCUCCUCCACCUGCAGCACACAGCGAGUGUUGCACCGAAGAUGACCACAGCCACGAUUCCCACGCCAGCCGCGAUCAGAACAAACUCUGAUGUCUCUGUGCACACUACAGUCUCAGUAGUGUACUUGAUGCUGAUGGUGUUGUUGGCUGAGCAGCUGAGUGUAGCGCUCUCUCCUAAACUGAGACUGAUGUUCAGCUGUGGUCCUUGAGUCUGAGGACUGAUCCAGCUGUAGGAGGGAUUCUCAUCACCAGACGCCACACACUGAAGAUUAAACUUGCAGAGGUUUUCUGACUGCAGCCAGACAUGAUUGUACAUCUCUGAUGAGCUCUGUCGGAAAAUAAUAUACAGAUAUUAAUUAAAUAAGCAAUUAAGCAUUAUAAUACCUUCAUUAUGAAACAAUUUAACUUUUAAUUUAAAUUUAAAUGAACAUAAACAUAUUCAGUAUCAGUUCUUAAAUUUGUUGUUUAAGAAUUUCUUGUUUUCAUCCUAACAGCAUUAACACAAUAAAUAUCAAACAAUUAAACUCACCAUGAACACGUAGUACAUAUCCUUUUGUCUGAAGUUGUACAGGACCAGAUUUAUUUUCUGCAACAAUGGAGAAUCUUCCAGAAUCCUGGAGUUUAAGGUCUGUUACUGUUACACUAAUACUGUCCUUAUUCAUCUUUAGUCUGUCGUUAAAUAAUUCAGAUUUCACUUUCUGGAAAUCAUCAUUUCGAUACUCAGCAAAUACACUCUGAUCAUAUUUCCACAGCACUUCAAGAUCUUUUUUUGGAUAAUCAGCAAUUAAUUCCAGCGAGUCUCCAACAGCUCUGUGUAGCUCAACAUCUGGAUCAGCACACGACCCUACAAUACAGAACAAACAACAACACAUGAUACUCUCACUAAUUCAUGCCCACAUUUCCACAUUCAACAGAUGAUUACAUGCAUCGAUUAACACAUUUCAUUUAAUAAAUAAAUAAAUAUAAUUAAAUCAGACAUCUGCCCUCUGCUGGCUGGUUAUAGACACUAAAGAAGGAGAGACCUGACACUUUGUCAAUGUCAAGGUCAACUUUAAUAUCACCAAGAGGGCAAUUAGUUCCAACUUUAAACAAGAAAAUAACAGGCUACUUUCACUUGAGUCACUUUUUUUUUUCCACUUUUAGUCUAAAUCUGGCUGCAACAGACAUUACCGUUGAAACUGACCUCAUUCUCUAAAGAUAAGGCUUGAGGUUUCCUGAGCUGAACUCUUUUCUCACAGAUCAAACACUGAUGUGGACUAACUGUUCAUGAUCAUUUGCUUCCAACAGUCAAAUAUAAACACACAAUACAUUUUUUAUUUUGAAAUCCCUUUAAGUAUCGAUUACAGUAAACACAUUUAGUUUCAUAUUUAGUAAAAAUAAACAUAUCCCCUAUCUGGACAGUAAUAGUUUCUCAGAGUUCUGUGAUCAAACACACAUGAUCACAUGACUGUCUGCUGUAAAUAACAUGUCAAAUGCUUUGAAUAAUAAUAGAUUCAUAUUAAAUAAUAUCCUACUCAUUAAUUAUUUAAACUUCCUGUUGUAAUAUAGGAAGAAAGACGCACUAUAGUGGUUUAAUUAUACAGGAUGUAGUUAUUGUAUAUAAUAAGGUUACAUGUUUUAAAGUUGUAUUGCACACACACCUGUUAAAAAUGACACAUUUCAAAUAUA
This 1726-nucleotide long non-coding RNA is filed under the name Carassius auratus (goldfish). Its description in RNAcentral is "lncRNA (ENSCARG00000057545.1)". Lineage: Eukaryota; Metazoa; Chordata; Actinopteri; Cypriniformes; Cyprinidae. The record is from RNAcentral.